RNAcentral lists this ribosomal RNA (253 nucleotides) under uncultured bacterium. RNAcentral's name for it is "partial 16S ribosomal RNA". It matches the Rfam family "Bacterial small subunit ribosomal RNA", at positions 524 to 776 of the family's 1533-position model. The record is from RNAcentral.
UACGAAGGGGGCUAGCGUUGUUCGGAAUUACUGGGCGUAAAGCGCACGUAGGCGGAUUUGUUAGUCAGGGGUGAAAUCCCGGGGCUCAACCUCGGAACUGCCUUUGAUACUGCAAGUCUCGAGUCCGGAAGAGGUGAGUGGAAUUCCUAGUGUAGAGGUGAAAUUCGUAGAUAUUAGGAAGAACACCAGUGGCGAAGGCGGCUCACUGGUCCGGUACUGACGCUGAGGUGCGAAGGCGUGGGGAGCAAACAGG